GUUUGUUUGCUGCUUUUUUUUUUUUUUAAUGUUUGUUUGUAGCAAUGACGUUAGUUGACCUGUUGAACCUGUCGACGGCUACACAUAAAAGGCUGCAAAUAAAUCAGAUUGAUCCGGCCCAACUCCACCUGCUUACAUUCAAUCCGACGUAUUUUGGAGGACCUAUGGGGACGGAUUGGAUUCUAGGAUCUAUUCCAUUUUUUAUGCUGAAUUUAAGUUUAUUGAAUUCAAAUCCGACUCGACCAAUUUGAAGUUUGAAUAAUUUUGAAUUUUCAAUUCUACGAUCCGGUCCGAAUCUAUAAAAUUAUUUGGGCUUGCAAGCCGCAGGGUGCAAACAAGUUCUGAAGCUAUAAAUGGUUUGAUCCAAGCUGGAUCCGAAUUUUUUGAGUUGAGUCUAAAUUAUACAUAGAUCUGACCCAGCUCGAAUGACUCGUUAAGUCAAAAAUUGUAACGGUGGAUCCGGUCCAAUCUAAUUCGGUUUUCUAUUAGAUUGAGUCUGGAUUCAAAAUUAAAACUCAGAACAAAACAGUUUGGAUCAGAAUUCUUAAUGAUUUGAUUUGACCCCACACAUUUGCACUCUUGAGGCUGGAGUGCGGUUUCCAAACGCGCCAGCCAUGGUACCCAAUAAGCAAUGUCUUGUGU
This 642-nucleotide long non-coding RNA is filed under the name Phoenix dactylifera (date palm). Its description in RNAcentral is "long non-coding RNA (PDAC_LNC019008)". Lineage: Eukaryota; Viridiplantae; Streptophyta; Magnoliopsida; Arecales; Arecaceae. The record is from RNAcentral.